RNAcentral lists this ribosomal RNA (468 nucleotides) under uncultured bacterium. Its description in RNAcentral is "partial 16S ribosomal RNA". It matches the Rfam family "Bacterial small subunit ribosomal RNA", at positions 28 to 507 of the family's 1533-position model. The record is from RNAcentral.
GACGAACGCUGGCGGCGUGCUUAACACAUGCAAGUCGAACGGAAAGGCCCUGCUUUUGUGGGGUGCUCGAGUGGCGAACGGGUGAGUAACACGUGAGUAACCUGCCCUUGACUUUGGGAUAACUUCAGGAAACUGGGGCUAAUACCGGAUAGGAGCUCCUGCUGCAUGGUGGUGGUUGGAAAGUUUCGGCGGUUGGGGAUGGACUCGCGGCUUAUCAGCUUGUUGGUGGGGUAGUGGCUUACCAAGGCUUUGACGGGUAGCCGGCCUGAGGGGGUGACCGGCCACAUUGGGACGGGAAUACGGCCCAGACUCCUACGGGGGGCAGCAGUGGGGAAUAUGGCACAAGGGGCGGAAGCCGGAUGCAGCAACGCCGCGUGCGGGAUGACGGCCUUCGGGUUGUAAACCGCUUUCGCCGGUGACGAAGCGUGAGUGACGGUAAUGGGUAAAGAAGCACCGGCUAACUACGUG